This is a long non-coding RNA of Rhea pennata, 563 nucleotides long. RefSeq lists it as uncharacterized. The record is from RefSeq and is a predicted model, not a curated record. The transcript is spliced from 3 exons. NCBI's taxonomy places the organism in Eukaryota, Metazoa, Chordata, Aves, Rheiformes, Rheidae.
GAGCCUAGAAACCGCUGGGCAAGGAACAGACGACUCAGACCCUUUGCAAGUCAGCCCAAAAGAUGCUGAACAAAGGCAAAACGUGCCAUGACAGCAGGCUGAAACACCAAGGACAGCAGAUCCUACAGCUAUAGGAGGACAACAAAAAGAAAUCCCUCACAUUGACAGUGUCUGCAAACAACCCUGUUUUAACAGGAGACCAUUUCAGUCAAGAUGUCUGCUGCGAUGCCUUACAGCUACCACAUUUCUUAGUAUUCUUAGACGACAGAUUUUUCUGAUUGAAGCAGUAGUAUCACAGUUCACGUACACUGGUCUUAGAAGGGUGCUGAUUCCAGAUUAAUGAGCAUCAGAGAGCAUCUUGCAAUUAUCCCUCCAGAGGGAGGCUAACUGAUAAAUGAGCAGAUCCACUGCAGCAAGGCCAGCAAAACUAGUCUUCAGAAAUAGCCCUCAAAUAAUCUCUGGCAUACAUACAAAAAAUACACAGAAGUAAUUCUUACUUUUGUUUGAAAAAUGUUAGUAAGACCGUAAGUGUCUUCCUAAAAUAAACCAUCAUAGAACAAAAA